RNAcentral lists this long non-coding RNA (1260 nucleotides) under Sarcophilus harrisii (Tasmanian devil). RNAcentral describes it as "lncRNA (ENSSHAG00000022143.1)". The record is from RNAcentral. Lineage: Eukaryota; Metazoa; Chordata; Mammalia; Dasyuromorphia; Dasyuridae.
GUUUGGUUUUAGUUUUUUCCCUAAAAUAAUAGUCAACGCUAACCUAAUCAAAUGGCAUCCAUUUGAAUAAAAUGACAGUAGCAGAAGCUAGUUAAUGUCAGUGACAUUAAACUAACUCAGGGAUUCAGGAGUUUUAAUAAUAGAAUUUAUAGGUAACUGAUAUAGUAUGGCUUCAUUUUUUCCUUAAUAAUCUCAUGUUCUCCUGGUCCAUUUUGUAUUGUAUCUUCUUCUGAAAAAGAGAACAACAGUAGUACUUUAAGCAUAUUUACUAUUGUGCAUUUAGUUUGCCAACUGUCUUUCAGAUUCUUGAAUAUAUCCAUAUCAUCUGUUUUAUUUUACUGUGAUGGUAUUGGAUUUUUCUUUUUUCUCCCAGUUUUUGUAAUAGGUCUUAUUUUUGGUUAACAUAGAAUGGUAGAGAGAAGAGAGGUCAAAUGACUUUUGUUCAAAAUUCAUUAUUUAGCAUAUAAAUCAAAUUGUGAAUCAAUAACGUUUUUGAGGAUCUAUAACCUUUCUACGUAUAAAGGUUAUUAUGUGGCUUUUUUUGUUUUACUGCUAGUUUGAUUUCAUACCACUGGGAAAUUUUGGAAACUUCCACCAGAGACCUAGUGAUACUCUGAUGCUAUAUUUAAAGAAUUCUUAAUACCUCUAGGAAGCUAAAAACAAUUCAUUAUAGGUUUUCUCUUCCCCAUUUUUUUCUUUAUCCCCCUUCUUGCUUUCUAUCUUUGUUCUGCCAACCAACACUUCAGAAACUUGCAUGCAGAUAGUCUUAAAAUGAAUACCACAGCAGUUUGUGUGUGUAGCAUGUGUAAUUACAUUCUCAGAAAAAAAAAAAAACUCACCUGUAUAUAGGUUUGGAUUUACAUUUCAAAACAAAGUACUUAAGAAAAACAGUCCCUUUAGCUGCCAAAAAGAGCAUUGUGAAUUAUGUUUUCUCCUUCCAAUAUACACAAACACGCACACACACAUACACAUACACAUAUACACACACCAGCUGGUAUUGUCCAUUUUUGAAAAUAAGUUUAAUGUAUAUUGCACAUUAUUAUGACUUUAAGGAUGGAGCAAAUAACAGUAGCAAAAGAAAUGGAACUUAAAAGAUUCUCUUUUCAUGUGAAUUUUUCAUCACACUUGACUUUCCAAUUAAAAUGGAAGUAUAAGCUUUCUGAAUGCAAUAUUGUUCAAGGCCCUCGCUGGUCUUUAAAUAUGUAAUAUUUAAUGAAGUUCAACAAAUUUCUCCUUUUAUCUUCAAGAAAAUUAAAAACA